This 253-nucleotide ribosomal RNA is filed under the name uncultured bacterium. Its description in RNAcentral is "partial 16S ribosomal RNA". It matches the Rfam family "Bacterial small subunit ribosomal RNA", at positions 524 to 776 of the family's 1533-position model. The record is from RNAcentral.
UACGUAGGUGGCGAGCGUUGUCCGGAUUUACUGGGCGUAAAGAGCGCGCAGGCGGUCGUUCAAGUCGCGUGUGAAAGCCCCCGGCUCAACUGGGGAGGGUCACGCGAUACUGAUCGACUCGAAGGCAGGAGAGGGAAGUGGAAUUCCCGGUGUAGAGGUGAAAUUCGUAGAUAUCGGGAGGAACACCGGUGGCGAAGGCGGCGACCUGGGUAGAUACUGACGCUGAGGCGCGAAAGCGUGGGGAGCAAACAGG